ACGGACGUUUGGCCGGGCUCGGUCGGAGGGCGGGUGCGGGUCCCCGCGUGUCACGCUCCAACACGAGAGGACAAGGAGGGCAGGAGUGAUCACUGACUCGGUGCCUUGGACGGCGGAGCUCCUGUGUUGUUCCUUACGCGUGACGUUUUUUCAUCUCAAGGUGAUCCCAUAAAGUGGAUACUGUUACUAGCCCUAUUUUACAAUCUUCCCAAGAAGGGGUGAGGCCUGGAAGUGAGGCGCGCAGAGAUGGGACGUACAACACCAAGUCUGGAGAGGGCGCCUCCAGAUAUUGCUCCAAACGUUUCUGCAAGGCUGGUGACGUCCCAAGACACUGAGACUUUAGAUGCCCCUGCCCAAUAUUUGGUAGUGCUCACAAAACAUGUCGAUGGAGAAAAAAGUAUGACUGCAACACGGGGCAGCAAGAGGUAACAGGGAAGACCUGCGCGCACUAGGCUUACGCCCCGCUUCCUUUGAGGCCCUUGGAGGACGCUGGAAAAGCAUAUCUUCUCAUGCAGCAAAGUUCCUGUCUACCAACAUGAGUUGCAGUCUAAAGCCACAGUGAAUUUUGUGACAGUAACAUUAACAAUCCAAUGGAAUAGAAACAUUCUAGUCUUCCUAUAAACGUACUGAACAUGGAGAACAGAAAUGAUUCUAGGCAUGACUUUGGUUUUUUUAAUUCUUCUUGAGGGAGAUAUAAAGAGCACAGCAUCUUUGAAUUCUUGAGGCACUGUCACAAUACGCCAUGUGUUAUGGAAAAGCUGACACACAAAUAUGGGUCAUUAUUACUCUCCUUCUAAGAACUGCAAGAGAGUGAGUGAGAGAGAGAGAGAGAAGCUGCAGCAAUCCAGACCAGACGAUAUGCUAACACCAAACAGAAGAAGAAACGAUCAUAUACACACUCACUAUACACUGGACUCCUUACUCUGUACGUACCCUCUGUUCUUUGGUCCAGGUCCCUCAUGAGCUGGAAGUUUCUCUGCAGUUCAAAUGGGAGGUUUUCAA
Globicephala melas (long-finned pilot whale) is the source of this 1002-nucleotide long non-coding RNA. RefSeq lists it as uncharacterized. The record is from RefSeq and is a predicted model, not a curated record. Lineage: Eukaryota; Metazoa; Chordata; Mammalia; Artiodactyla; Delphinidae.